GUCGUGAGAUGUUGGGUUAAGUCCCGCAACGAGCGCAACCCCCGUCGCAUGUUGCCAGCAUUUAGUUGGGGACUCAUGCGAGACUGCCGGUGACAAACCGGAGGAAGGUGGGGAUGACGUCAAGUCAUCAUGCCCCUUAUGUUCAGGGCUACACACGUGCUACAUUGGCGCGUACAGAGGGCUGCGAUACCGCGAGGUGGAGCGAAUCCCUCAAAGCGCGUCUCGGUUCGGAUUGCAGGCUGAAACCCGCCUGCAUGAAGGUGGAGUUGCUAGUAAUCGCGGAUCAGCAUUGCCGCGGUGAAUACGUUCCCGGGCCUUGUACACACCGCCCGUCACACCACGGGAGUGAGCAACACCCGAAGCCGGUGGCCUAACCCUUUUGGGAGGGAGCCGUCGAAGGUGGGGCUCGUGACUGGGGUGAAGUCGUAACAAGGUAGCCGUACCGGAAGGUGCGGCUGGAUCACCUCCUUUCUAGGGAGCCCUCGUGAUGAGGGCACGCACGGCACGGCGCCGACCGUGAACCCGCCGGUCCUUCGGGACCAGCUCCUCCGGGAGCCGUGGCGGGGGGAACGCCGGCCUCCGACCGUGUGGCUAGAACGUCGACCGGACCUGGCCCCGCCAGACUGGCAUCCCGUCAGUCUCGAGCGGGUGCAUGCUGUUGAGUUUUGAGAGACCGAUCGCCCGUCGGCGCGCCCUCGUGCGCGCCGGCCGGUUGUCGCCCAUCUCGGACGGCCCUUGAAAACUGCACAGUAGCCACAUGUCGCCCCUUUUACGAUGAGUCGGGGGCGACACGGGUAUCACCGGCCGGGCUUCCUUUCCGGAGCUCGGCCAGAUCACCGUCAAGAUAGUAAGGGCACAUGGUGGAUGCCUUGGCACCUAGAGUCGAUGAAGGGCGUGAACGGCUGCGAUAAGCCACGGGGAGACGCUGAAUGGUCUUUGAUCCGUGGAUGC
RNAcentral lists this small RNA (951 nucleotides) under uncultured Conexibacter sp. Its description in RNAcentral is "bacterial SSU rRNA". The stretch from base 1 to 471 matches the Rfam family "Bacterial small subunit ribosomal RNA", at positions 1064 to 1533 of the family's 1533-position model. The record is from RNAcentral. Lineage: Bacteria; Bacillati; Actinomycetota; Thermoleophilia; Solirubrobacterales; Conexibacteraceae.